UAAGGAAUAUUGGACAAUGGAGGCAACUCUGAUCCAGCCAUGCCGCGUGAAGGAAUAAGGCCCUAUGGGUUGUAAACUUCUUUUAGACGGGACAAAACCCCUUUACGUGUAAAGGGUUGAUGGUACUGUCAGAAUAAGCAUCGGCUAACUUCGUGCCAGCAGCCGCGGUAAUACGAAGGAUGCAAGCGUUAUCCGGAAUUAUUGGGAUUAAAGGGUGCGUAGGCGGACUAAUAAGUCAGUGGUGAAAGCCUGCAGCUUAACUGCAGAAUUGCCAUUGAUACUGUUAGUCUUGAGUACAGUUGAGGUAGGCGGAAUGUGUCAUGUAGCGGUGAAAGGCUUAGAUAUGACACAGAACACCGAUUGCGAAGGCAGCUUGCUAAGCUGUAACUGACGCUGAGGCACGAAAGCGUGGGGAGCAAACA
Molecule: ribosomal RNA, 422 nt
Filed under: uncultured bacterium
Lineage: Bacteria
Description: bacterial SSU rRNA
Rfam family: Bacterial small subunit ribosomal RNA
Source: RNAcentral